This 7240-nucleotide long non-coding RNA is filed under the name Populus tremula. RNAcentral's name for it is "long non-coding RNA (PTRE_LNC003333)". Lineage: Eukaryota; Viridiplantae; Streptophyta; Magnoliopsida; Malpighiales; Salicaceae. The record is from RNAcentral.
AUUCCAAAGUUUCCAGAUUUCUCAAGGAUCCUACUUCCUUUCCUUUAACUGUUAUCGGAGCAUCCAUAAACUCUUCUAGUACAAAGACUUGCAGGUGAGAGAGUUUUGGUAAUAUCCCACUAGGAAACUCCUUUUCACCACAUCCAUUCAUUCUAAGAUACCUCAGGUUGGUUAGGCAUUCCAUUCCUUGCGGCAUAUUUUCAAGCGCGGUACGAGAGAGAGCCAACCUCUUCAGUUCCUUGAGCUUCUUUAAUGAUGGAACAUGUUUUAAUUUCCCACAAGAAUUGAGCAAUAAUGCAGUGAGACUCACCAAAUCAGAGAAAGAGUCUGGCAAAUUUUCAAUACCUGUCCAAGACAGAUCGAGGACCUUGAGCCCAUGCAAUUGCUUGAAAAAUGAAUCCGCUAUAGAUCCCAACCGUUGAUUAUAACAUAGAAGCAGAGUGGACAGAUUUGAACAAAUUGGUGAAUGGCCGAAAGGAAUUUCUUCGAUCUCGUUUAGUACUAGUGAAACUAUCGUCAAAUUCUCCGUCCACUCCUCUGCAUCUGGCAACUCUUUUAAUUGCGCACCUGCUUUAACCAUGCCUUGAGAGUUCUCUAGCAGUAUUUGGAUGGCCAUGUCCCUAAUCAAGUCAUGCAUCUUGACACGUCUACAACCAAACAUCAUUUGAGCUCUUUCUAAUAGGCAAACAUAUUCAAGUCUAUUAAGCAUCGUGUGGCCCUCGUCAAAUGCAUCUUCCCUUCUCCUCAUUCCUUUAAUUAUUCCCUCGUCGAUCAAAUAACCUAUCAACUCCUCCCUUCCAAUCCAAUAAUCUUCAGGAAAUAAUGCACAGUACAAGAGACAUUGUUGUAGUGCUAGAUCAUCUAACCGAUCAUAACUAAACCUCAAUAACUUGAAUACUUCCUUGUCCCUAAAUUCUGAUUCUUUCAAUUUGUUCAAUGUAUUUCUCCACUCAUGUAGGUCAUCCACUCCCCUCAAGCUUCCUGCCACUGUAAUAAUUCCCAAUGGCAAACCAGCACAUUUCCUUGCAACAGCUUCCGCAAUUCCUUCCACUUCUGGUGAAAGUGCUACAUCAUGUCCAAGUUUCUCCAUGAACAAAAUCCAAGCUUCUCCCUUAGAAAGUGGCUUCACUUUGAUUUUGUGCUGGCAAGUCAUCCGAUGACAAACUGUUUCUGAUCGAGUUGUCAAAAUCAGCUUGCAUCCUUUCAACUUCUCAGGAAUUCCCACUUUGUGUAGCUCAAAAUUGUUCCACAAAUCAUCUAAAAUAAGAAUCCAUUUUUGUUUCUUCCUUAGUUCUUCUGACAAUUUAGCAGCUCUAUGCAGUUCAUCAUGUUUUCUUGAAAGAUCUAGAUCAAGAUGUUCAGCAAUAAGAUUCUGCAAUCUAUUAAUGCUGAAAUCUUGAGACACAGUCACCCACCAAACAUGAUCACAAAUAUCUGGUCUUUGUAGAAGCUCAUUAUGGAUAUGUUGCAGUAUUGUGGAUUUACCAACUCCCCCAUCCCAUAAAUGCCAAUGGUUGAGACUUCCCCAUCCAUUAACAAAGACCAUAUCUCAUUCGUAUUCUCUUCGAAUGCUUGACCCACUGGUUUUGUAGAGCUAGUAGGUAAUGGAACUCCUCUAGUCUUGUUGUAUUUCAGACUUUCAGAAGAUCUAGCUCCAGCACCAACCUGCACUGAUCUUCGACUAUUCUCCACAUCCUCCUCCACUAAUUCUGUCCUCACUCUAACCCGAUUAAUUCUCUCUUCCCCGGCACCUUGUUCCAGCACCCCCUGAACUCCCACUUGUAUCCUUCCAGCACCCCCUGCCAAAUUGCCAAGUACUGCAUUUCUUUGUUCCAACGAUCGAUCCACUUGUUCUGUCCUCGGUCUGCUCUUGAGUGCCCCUUCAGAAACUCCAUCUUCUUGUGCUCUCAUUCCGGUCAUGCUUACUACGUCGUUUCCUGCUAUUGCAUGUGAAGUAAUUCUCUCUUCCCCUACUCCGGGUUCUACAACCUGAACUUCUCGUUGUACCCUUCCAAUUCCUCCUUCCGUAUUUUCAAUCUCAAUGUUUUGUUCUUGUGGACAAGUUGAAAUUCCAAAAUCAUUAACAUUGACUGAACUUGCUGUGGUUUUAUGUCUUUUGUUGCCACCACACAUAGCUAGAAAGGCUGCUUCUUGAACUUCUGUAGUCACCCCAGGACAAAUGGCAACAUUAUGCCCUCUCUUUCUUGAUAAAUGCCAUUUGAUCCUCGAAAUGGAAGUAUCCUUGGCAUAUGUAUGUGGACAAAACUUACACUUCAUCCUACCAUCAGCCCUAUAUUCAACAUAAUUCCAAAACGGAUCAUUUGAUCCAACCAUUUCGACCUAUAGAAAAAAAGGGGGGGUCAAAAUAUAGAAUAAAAAUCAGUCAAAAUAAAGAAUAAAAAUCCUAUCUGGAUGGAUGAGAAACUACUUCAGUACUGUUACCCCUAUUUUGCUAUUAAAAUUGAGAGUUAGUUUAUAGCACAAUCAUAGGGGAAAAAAAGACUACGAUAAUUCAGUUAGACUUCUUACUUGUUGAGAAUUUAAACCCCUAUUUUGACUUUGCAAGGAAGUGUCAGGGCCAGGAUUUGAGGCAUUUGGCCUAGCAGUUUGAUUUCGCAAUCCUCGGACUUGGAGGUUAUCCAUCUGUGACCUAUAUAAAAAUGAAGUGAUCAUAUUAUAAAACCUUUCGAUAAUUGGUAGUCUCUCUCAAGCACUAAAAAUCAAUGGUGUAUCUAAUUAUCGAAAAGGUAUUAAUACUAUGUAGAAAACCUAAUUUUUUUUAUUACAGAAAAUACUAAAAAUGAAAAAUUGGAUACCAUGGAGCAGGAAAAGAAGGUCCAGGUUGAUUGAAGCCACCAUGUUGUGAAGUGGUUGCGUUCGGUGUCAUAUAGCCAUGUCCCGGCUGAGGUUGAUGAAUAAGGGAAUUAUGAUGCCUUGAUGGAGUUUGAGGCCAAUUUGGUUCAUUUUGGUUGAUCCAUGAUGAUGAUGUUCCAUCCAAACCUCCCAUUGUUGUCUGUUUGUUUAACAAUAAACAAUUAGAAGAUGCUCGAGAUAAAUCGAUACACUAAACUUUUUGUAUAAUACAAACACUUGCUAAUUCAAUGGAUAUUGUAGCGAAUUGGAGCAAGCAUGAGUACUCACCAUGGUUUCCGGAAAUGAAGUUGGAAACUGAGUUGUACUAUCGUUGAUCACAUUGUUCCAUCCAAACCUCCCUUGAUCAUUGCCUUGGUUGACUGGAACCUCCGAUGCCGGCCUGCUUCCAUGGAAUAAUAGGAUAAACUGAAGAAUAACUAAAUUGCAAGCAAUCAUCUUCUGAUAAAAUAUGCUUAAGAAUGACGUACGAGAGAAGCUCAGAUAUAUUGAAUGUAUCAUCUUCUGAUUGAAAAUCCAGCUGAUCCCAUGUCAUGUUGUCAACCUCCUCCAUAGAAGAUGGUUGGAACCCUUCCAUCUGACCAGAAAAGAUCAGAAAAGACAAAAAAAAAACUGAGGUCUAAAAUGAACAGAAAGCACAGAUCAGAAAAGAAUAUAUAUAUCCCAUUGCUGUCUGUUUGUUUAACAAUAAACAUUUUGAAGAUGCUCGAGAUAAAUUGAUACACGAAAACAUAAAACUUUUUUAUCCAAUGGGUGAUACAAACACUUGCUAAUUCAAUGGACAUUGUAGCAAAUUGGAGUAGGCAUGAGCACUCACCAUGGUUUGAGGAAAUGAAGGUGGAAACUGAGUUGUUUGUUGAAUACUAUCGUUGAUCACAUUGUUAUCCACUACCAUGUUCUGUCCAACAUGAUCAUUGCAUAACAUGAAGCUUUGGUUGCCUGGAACCUCCGGUGGCGACCUGCUUCCAUAGUCAGUAACAUUAUUGUUUCUUGGGAAUAAACUAUUGAAGAAUAACUAAAUUGCAAGCAAUCGUCUUCUGAUAAAAUAUGCUUAAGAAUGACGUACAAGAGAAGCUCAGACAUGAAUGUAUCUUCUAGUGAUUGAAGAUCGAACAGAUUCGAUGUCACGUUGACAUCAUCCUCCAUAGAAGAUUGUGGGAACCCUUCCAUCUGACCACAAGUACAAGACGAUUAGUAUGUACUGAGGUGGAAAAAGAACAGAAAGCUCAGAUCAGAAAAGAAUAUAUAUAUUAAAAAAAUAAUUAUGACUUGCUUAUUUGUUAAAGAAAUAAGGAUGAAAAAUAGGAAAUAUAAAUGUUGUUGUUAAUGAUUUAACCCUUUGUAUUUAAAGCUAAAUUAUCAUACUCAAAUUCUAUCCUAAAACUCUAGAAUGAUAGAUAGAAAGAUGCAGAAGAGGAUAACUGUUGAAGAAAGCAGGGGAAGGAAGGUCGAAGAGCUGAUUGUUUUGACGGGGUGAACAAAAACCUCUUUCAACUCCUAUUUAUUCAUAAUUUGGGGAGCAAAACAAAUGCAAGAUAUUGUUUUGUUCAAAAAGAUUCAGGUAAUUAUUGAUGAUCAAGUUAAUUCAUUGAAUCAUUGUAAGUUGAAAAAUAUUGAAUAAAAAUAAAUGGCAGUCCCAUUAAUUGGAAAAGAAAAGGGUGAAUCUAAAAUAAGGAGUUAAAAACAACAAAGAAUCUUGAAAAGACGAAAACAACGAAUUCAGUAUUAAUUUAGUAUGAACUCCACAAGGCAUGGAUUAUAAAAUCCGAGAAAAAGAUCAAUUUAUUUAUCAUGGAUUCCUUUAAAGAUUCAAACCAUACUUGCAUAUAUAAAAACAAAAACACCACCAAGAUAAAGUACAAAUAAUUAACCUGGAUUCAAGUGCUGGUUCGCUUGAGCAGUAAUCAGCCAAAAAAGAGAGGAGAAAUCACAUAAAUCUAGUUCGCACUGGUUAGAUGUGGAAAGGAAAAGAGGUAGAAGAUGAUUAGUACGUCCUGAGGAUUAAAAGAGAAGAGAAAUCACAGAUCGGAGAAGAUUAUAUGAUUAGAAAACUAAUAAAGUUGCAGUCUACAUAAAUUAUUGUUUUGUUAUAUGUGGAAGGAAGUUGCUAGGAAGCAACCCACUACUUUACCUACCCAAUUAUGAAAGCUUAGAAGAAGAUGCCUAGAAAAUGUGAUUAAUAUGUGAUUAAUAGGUGGUGGCCAAGAGUUUGGGACCAAGAGGUUUGAUUUCUAUGUGGUAUCAGGUUCGAGCCCUGGGUUGCUCAUAUGAUAGCCACUGGAGGCUUACAUAGUCGUUAACUUCAGGGCCUGUGGGAUUAGUCGAGGUAUGCGCAAGCUGAUCCGGACACACGUUUAACUAAAAAAAAAUACAUAUAUUAUAUUAUAAGAUAUAGAAAGUUAACGUGUGGACCCGCCCCAAUGUUGAAACUUCGAAGAAGCUGCCAAGAAAAUGUAAACACAUGAAAUUUUCAAAAAAGAAUAGUAUAUUUAUUAGGUUACUUUAAUGAUAAAUCAAUAUAGUUUUUAUUUUUAUUUUUUAUUUUUGGAUUUUCAUCUUGGAGAAACUCAAUAGGAUGAAAAUAUAAUAUUAAUCAAACUUCAAAUUAUAAUUAUUUAUCUAUCGAGUUAAAAAAAAAGUACAAAGGGAUGAAGGAUUAUUUCAAUAUUAAUUAAUAAGAGUAUCCUUGUUGAUUUAAAGGACUAUUUUCAUAUCGAAAAUAAUUAUGUUUUGCACCUGAUUUUUAACAAAAAUGAUUGAAAAAUGAUAUAUUAUUGAAUAUGAGCAAAUUUAAGAUAACAAAAAUGAUUAGUAUUUUUACAGAUGGAUAGAAUUGAUAAAUGAUGCAACAAAAAAGGAUACGUAUUAUUACAUUUAACGGAGUAAUUAACCAUUCUACAUAUUAAUUAUUUCGAGAGAAAAAGGUUCUUUGGACAUCCUUUGCAUUAUGAUAGAAUUGAUAAAUGAUGCAACAAAGAAGUAUUCUAACAACGAAAGGAUUAACAAUACGAAAGGUACAAUUCGAUUGAGAGAGAUUAUGCUUACCCUCUAUUCUAUAUUAUAUUAUAUUAAGGGCAGAGUAGUCUUCUCCUAUACAAAGUGUACAAAGGGAAGAAGGACAUCCUUUGUAUUAGGAUGCUCCCACUCCACUACUGUCUCCCACCAUUCUUCUGGAUAUGCCUUGAUUUUUCUAAGAGAAGGGGGAGGAGAUGGCUGCCCAUUUUCAUGCAACGGAAGACAAAUUGGAAUCCUCUUCAGCUUCUCACAAUAUAUUACAGUAAUAUAUUCAAGAGAAUUGCAUAUCAAUUUUACACUGCAAAUGCUUUUCAAUUCUGGUAAAUGAUACAAUUCCAAAAUUCUUAAGUUUGGGAGAAUGACUUCCGUGAUGGAAUUAGAGGUGCUGCUUUCUUCAUCUGUUGUUCCUAUUAUCUCCUCCAUUUUCUCACAUCCACUAAUUUCAAUAUGUGUAACAGGUUUAUAAGGUUUGGCAGCAAUACAAGUGGGAACACCUCCUUCAUACUGUUACAUCCACCACAAUAAAGCCUUUUAAGACCAGAAAACAUACCAUUAUAUGAUGGCAAUGGUGGUGGAGCAGAGCAGAACCAAGAAGAUGAAACCAUGCUCUCCAUGCUAUUGCAAUCCCCAAUGUCGAUUUCCUCCAGUUCAGUUGCAUUCUCUAAUGACAAAAUAUCACAUAAACUUCUUGCAUCGAUGCUUUCACAAACCAGUCCUUGAAUGCCAUUUAAGAACAUGACCUGAAAAUCUCCAUCUCCGUUGAUACUCAAAUUACCCAACCCAACUGUUUUACUUGGAAAAUAAUUAUUGCCAAACCAAUAAUUUAAACUCACCAUUCCUACUAAAAUUUUAUAUGUGCUUAAUGAUUGGAUCCCAUCCCGAGAUUUGAGAUAGUCCACGAAGUCAGAGAAACCUUCAAAAUGGCAUUCCAAACUUUCCAAAUUUCUCAAGGAUCCUACUUCCUUUCCUUUAACUGUUAUCGGAGCAAUCGUAAUCCCUUUUAUUACAAAGACAUGUAGGUGAGAGAGUUUUGGUAAUAUCCCACUAGGAAACUCCUUUUCACCACAUCCAUCCAUACUAAGAUACCUCAGGUUGGUUAGGCAUUCCAUUCCUUGCGGCAUCUUUUCAAGCCUAGUAUAAGAGAGAUCCAACCUCUUCAGUGCCGUGAGCUUCUUUAAUGAUGGAACAUGUUUUAAUUCAUCACACUUACUAAGCAAUAAGGCAGUAAGACUCGCCAAAUUAGAGACAGAAUCUGGCAAAUUUUUAAUACCUGUGCGAGACAGAUCAAGGACCAUGAGCCUAUGCAAUUGCUUGAAAAAUGAAUCCGCAACAAAUCCCAACCCUUUAUUAUCAC